GGGCCCCUUCAGUGUGGUGCGCCGCUGUGUCCACAAGACGACGGGCCAGCAGUUCGCGGUCAAAGUCGUCGACGUUGCCAAGUUUACCUCUUGUCCUGGACUCGGCACCGAAGACCUGAAGCGAGAAGCCACAAUCUGCCACAUGCUCAAACAUCCGCACAUUGUUGAACUUUUAGAAACAUACAGCUCGGAGGGAAUGCUCUACAUGGUGUUUGAGUACAUGGAAGGGGCAGACCUGUGCUUUGAAAUUGUGAAAAGAGCCACUGCCGGAUUUGUGUACAGCGAAGCGGUGGCCAG
This is a long non-coding RNA of Rhipicephalus sanguineus (brown dog tick), 297 nucleotides long. RefSeq lists it as uncharacterized. Lineage: Eukaryota; Metazoa; Arthropoda; Arachnida; Ixodida; Ixodidae. The record is from RefSeq and is a predicted model, not a curated record. The transcript is spliced from 3 exons.